Molecule: ribosomal RNA, 499 nt
Filed under: uncultured bacterium
Lineage: Bacteria
Description: partial 16S ribosomal RNA
Rfam family: Bacterial small subunit ribosomal RNA
Source: RNAcentral
ACUCAAAUGAAUAGACGGGGGCCCGCACAAGCGGUGGAGCAUGUGGUUUAAUUCGACGCAACGCGAAGAACCUUACCAACCCUUGACAUGGUCUGGACGGCAUUCAGAAAUGGAUGCUUCCCAGCAAUGGGCCGGACCACAGGUGCUGCAUGGCUGUCGUCAGCUCGUGUCGUGAGAUGUUGGGUUAAGUCCCGCAACGAGCGCAACCCUCGCCAUUAGUUGCCAUCCUUCAGUUGGGCACUCUAGUGGGACUGCCGGUGAUAAGCCGGAGGAAGGUGGGGAUGACGUCAAGUCCGCAUGGCCCUUAUGGGUUGGGCCACACACGUGCUACAAUGGCGGUGACAAUGGGCAGCCACCCAGCAAUGGGGAGCUAAUCCCAAAAAGCCGUCUCAGUUCGGAUCGAGCUCUGCAACUCGAGCUCGUGAAGUCGGAAUCGCUAGUAAUCGCAGAUCAGCACGCUGCGGUGAAUACGUUCCCGGGCCUUGUACACACCGCCCGU